CCUACGGGAGGCAGCAGUGAGGAAUAUUGGUCAAUGGGCGAGAGCCUGAACCAGCCAAGUCGCGUGAGGGAGUACUGCCCUAUGGGUUGUAAACCUCUUUUGUCGGGGAGCAAAAGCCGGACGUGUCCGGCUGUGAGAGUACCCGAAGAAAAAGCAUCGGCUAACUCCGUGCCAGCAGCCGCGGUAAUACGGAGGAUGCGAGCGUUAUCCGGUUUUAUUGGGUUUAAAGGGUGCGCAGGCGGAUUUUUAAGUCAGCGGUAAAAUCGUGGGGCUCAACCCCAUCCAGCCGUUGAAACUGGGGAUCUAGAGUGUGCGAGAGGUAUGCGGAAUGCGUGGUGUAGCGGUGAAAUGCAUAGAUAUCACGCAGAACCCCGAUUGCGAAGGCAGCAUACCGGUGCACAACUGACGCUCAGGCACGAAAGCGUGGGUAUCGAACAGGAUUAGAUACCCGAGUAGUC
RNAcentral lists this ribosomal RNA (458 nucleotides) under uncultured bacterium. RNAcentral describes it as "partial 16S ribosomal RNA". It matches the Rfam family "Bacterial small subunit ribosomal RNA", at positions 338 to 795 of the family's 1533-position model. The record is from RNAcentral.